UACGUAGGCAGCGAGCGUUGUUCGGAGUUACUGGGCGUAAAGGGUGUGUAGGCGGUUGUUUAAGUUUGGUGUGAAAUCCCCUGGCUCAACUGGGGAACUGCGCUGGAAACUGGCAGACUCGAGUACCGGAGAGGAGAGUGGAAUUCCUGGUGUAGCGGUGAAAUGCGUAGAUAUCAGGAGGAACACCGGUGGCGAAGGCGGCUCUCUGGACGGAUACUGACGCUGAGGCGCGAAAGCGUGGGGAUCAAACAGG
RNAcentral lists this ribosomal RNA (253 nucleotides) under uncultured bacterium. RNAcentral describes it as "partial 16S ribosomal RNA". It matches the Rfam family "Bacterial small subunit ribosomal RNA", at positions 524 to 776 of the family's 1533-position model. The record is from RNAcentral.